ACUCGGGAAUUAGGGCUUGAUGUGAAACCUAGUUCCAUUUUCGUUGUGUAUCAUGGGGUUUUGGAACAUCAUCCACAAGCUGGAGUACAAAGAAUUCAAUCUCAAUCACAAUCAUAGUCACAAUGUGACUGUUGAUUUGGCAUCGAUUGCUUUGAUGACUGCCGGAGGCUUGCUCUACGUUCUCGUCCACGGUUUUAUGCAAAACCGCAGUUUUGUCUCCGGCUCGGACGUUCUCGUCCACGGUUUUAUGCAAAACCGCAGUUUUGUCUCCGGCUCGGAUGCUCGACGUGCUGAUGGCCUCCAUCUCCUGGUUCCGCCACCGCCACGAGGAUCGCCGCCGGUAACGAGAUCGGAGAACCGAAUGUUCAUAGUUCGUUUUCCGGCUCCCACUGCGUCCAUUCGUCGCCAGAGCUUCUGAUUUGUUCGUAUUACAGCUAUUGAAGUUCCUGUGAUUGCGUAUGUUGCGUAGAUAUGUGUUGCAUAUUCGAUUAGGUUUCUUCAUAUUUCUUCUGUUAUGUUGAUUUUGUUCCUCUCGUUGCUCCAGCUUCUGAAUCCGCUAGGAUUUGUUCGUAUUACAGCUAUUGAAGUUCCUGUGAUUGCGUAUGUUGUGUAGAUAUGUGUUGCAUAUUCGAUUAGGUUUCUUCAUAUUUCUGUUAUGUUGAUUUUGUUCCUCUCGUCGCUCCAGCUUCUGAAUCCGCUAGGAUUUGUUCGUAUUACAGCUAUUGAAGUUCAUGUGAUUAGGUGUAUGUUGUGUAGAUAUGUGUUGCGUAUUCGAUUAGGUUUCUUCAUAUUUCCGUUCUGUUGAUUUUGUUGGUAUAAACAUAUGUUUACACGAUUUACGAUGAUAUUGAAGUAAAUGAGCAUAUAAGUUUGAUGCCUACUAAAUUAGCUGAUGCGUGAUGCUUUAUUAUA
This is a long non-coding RNA of Daucus carota subsp. sativus, 912 nucleotides long. RefSeq lists it as uncharacterized. NCBI's taxonomy places the organism in Eukaryota, Viridiplantae, Streptophyta, Magnoliopsida, Apiales, Apiaceae. The record is from RefSeq and is a predicted model, not a curated record. The transcript is spliced from 4 exons.